RNAcentral lists this ribosomal RNA (464 nucleotides) under Staphylococcus carnosus. RNAcentral's name for it is "bacterial SSU rRNA". It matches the Rfam family "Bacterial small subunit ribosomal RNA", at positions 54 to 500 of the family's 1533-position model. Lineage: Bacteria; Bacillati; Bacillota; Bacilli; Caryophanales; Staphylococcaceae. The record is from RNAcentral.
CAUGCAAGUCGAGCGAACAGACGAGGAGCUUGCUCCUCUGAUGUUAGCGGCGGACGGGUGAGUAACACGUGGGUAACCUACCUAUAAGACUGGAAUAACUCCGGGAAACCGGGGCUAAUGCCGGAUAAUAUGCAGAACCGCAUGGUUCUGCAAUGAAAGACGGUUUUGCUGUCACUUAUAGAUGGACCCGCGCCGUAUUAGCUAGUUGGUAAGGUAAUGGCUUACCAAGGCAACGAUACGUAGCCGACCUGAGAGGGUGAUCGGCCACACUGGAACUGAGACACGGUCCAGACUCCUACGGGAGGCAGCAGUAGGGAAUCUUCCGCAAUGGGCGAAAGCCUGACGGAGCAACGCCGCGUGAGUGAUGAAGGUCUUCGGAUCGUAAAACUCUGUUAUUAGGGAAGAACAAGUGCGUAGGUAACUAUGCGCACCUUGACGGUACCUAAUCAGAAAGCCACGGCUAA